RNAcentral lists this ribosomal RNA (450 nucleotides) under Stenotrophomonas sp. RNAcentral describes it as "bacterial SSU rRNA". It matches the Rfam family "Bacterial small subunit ribosomal RNA", at positions 133 to 578 of the family's 1533-position model. Lineage: Bacteria; Pseudomonadati; Pseudomonadota; Gammaproteobacteria; Lysobacterales; Lysobacteraceae. The record is from RNAcentral.
UUCGGGGGGGAUAACGUAGGGAAACUUACGCUAAUACCGCAUACGACCUUCGGGUGAAAGCAGGGGACCUUCGGGCCUUGCGCGGAUAGAUGAGCCGAUGUCGGAUUAGCUAGUUGGCGGGGUAAAGGCCCACCAAGGCGACGAUCCGUAGCUGGUCUGAGAGGAUGAUCAGCCACACUGGAACUGAGACACGGACCAGACUCCUACGGGAGGCAGCAGUGGGGAAUAUUGGACAAUGGGCGCGAGCCUGAUCCAGCCAUACCGCGUGGGUGAAGAAGGCCUUCGGGUUGUAAAGCCCUUUUGUUGGGAAAGAAAAGCAGUCGGCUAAUACCCGGUUGUUCUGACGGUACCCAAAGAAUAAGCACCGGCUAACUUCGUGCCAGCAGCCGCGGUAAUACGAAGGGUGCAAGCGUUACUCGGAAUUACUGGGCGUAAAGCGUGCGUAGGUGG